Molecule: ribosomal RNA, 592 nt
Filed under: uncultured bacterium
Lineage: Bacteria
Description: partial 16S ribosomal RNA
Rfam family: Bacterial small subunit ribosomal RNA
Source: RNAcentral
UGGGGAAUCUUCCGCAAUGGACGAAAGUCUGACGGAGCAACGCCGCGUGUAUGAUGAAGGUCUUCGGAUUGUAAAGUACUGUCAUUGGGGAAGAACGGUUUUCCUGAAAAGAUUGAGAAGACAUGACGGUACCCAAGGAGGAAGCCCCGGCUAACUACGUGCCAGCAGCCGCGGUAAUACGUAGGGGGCAAGCGUUGUCCGGAAUUAUUGGGCGUAAAGGGCGCGUAGGCGGGCCUUUAAGUCCGGUGUGAAAGAUCAGGGCUCAACCCUGAGAGUGCAUCGGAAACUGGAGGCCUUGAGGACAGGAGAGGAAAGUGGAAUUCCACGUGUAGCGGUGAAAUGCGUAGAUAUGUGGAGGAACACCAGUGGCGAAGGCGACUUUCUGGACUGUAACUGACGCUGAGGCGCGAAAAGCGUGGGGAGCAAACAGGAUUAGAUACCCUGGUAGUCCACGCCGUAAACGAUGAGUGCUAGGUGUAGAGGGUAUCGACCCCUUCUGUGCCGCAGUUAACACAAUAAGCGCUCCGCCCGCUGGGGAGUACGGCCGCAAGGUUGAAACUUAAAGGAAUUGACGGGGUCAUAGCUGUUUCCU